This 72-nucleotide transfer RNA is filed under the name Marmota monax (woodchuck). RNAcentral's name for it is "tRNA.Ala". The record is from RNAcentral. Lineage: Eukaryota; Metazoa; Chordata; Mammalia; Rodentia; Sciuridae.
UGAGGGUACAGCUCAGUGGUACAGUAUGUGCUUAGCAUGCAUAAGACCUGGGUUUGAGCCCUAGCACUACAA